RNAcentral lists this ribosomal RNA (201 nucleotides) under uncultured bacterium. RNAcentral's name for it is "partial 16S ribosomal RNA". It matches the Rfam family "Bacterial small subunit ribosomal RNA", at positions 1300 to 1500 of the family's 1533-position model. The record is from RNAcentral.
GUAGUCUGCAACCCGACUACAUGAAGCUGGAAUCGCUAGUAAUCGCAGAUCAGAAUGCUGCGGUGAAUACGUUCCCGGGUCUUGUACACACCGCCCGUCACACCAUGGGAGUUGGAAAUGCCCGAAGUCGGUGACCUAACCGAAAGGGAGGAGCCGCCGAAGGCAGGUCUGAUAACUGGGGUGAAGUCGUAACAAGGUACC